UCUGAUGAAGAGAAGAAAGGCCUAAACU
This 28-nucleotide non-coding RNA is filed under the name Homo sapiens (human). Lineage: Eukaryota; Metazoa; Chordata; Mammalia; Primates; Hominidae. The record is from RNAcentral.